AGCGAACGCUGGCGGCAGGCCUAACACAUGCAAGUCGAACGAACUCUUCGGAGUUAGUGGCGGACGGGUGAGUAACACGUGGGAACGUGCCUUUUGGUUCGGAAUAACUCAGGGAAACUUGUGCUAAUACCGAAUGUGCCCUUCGGGGGAAAGAUUUAUCGCCAUUAGAGCGGCCCGCGUCUGAUUAGCUAGUUGGUGAGGUAACGGCUCACCAAGGCGACGAUCAGUAGCUGGUCUGAGAGGAUGACCAGCCACACUGGGACUGAGACACGGCCCAGACUCCUACGGGAAGCAGCAGUGGGGAAUCUUGCGCAAUGGGCGAAAGCCUGUCGCAGCCAUGCCGCGUGAAUGAUGAAGGUCUUAGGAUUGUAAAAUUCUUUCACCGGGGACGAUAAUGACGGUACCCGGAGAAGAAGCCCCGGCUAACUUCGUG
This 433-nucleotide ribosomal RNA is filed under the name uncultured bacterium. Its description in RNAcentral is "partial 16S ribosomal RNA". It matches the Rfam family "Bacterial small subunit ribosomal RNA", at positions 29 to 507 of the family's 1533-position model. The record is from RNAcentral.